UUCGUGUGAACAGUGGUUGAUCACGAGUUAGUCGGUCCUAAGUUCAAGGCGAAAGCCGAAAAUUUUCAAGUAAAUAAAUAUCAAAAUAUAUUUGUCAAUUUAUAUGAUGUUAUAACACUUGAAUAAUUUUGAACGAAAGGGAAUACGGUUCCAAUUCCGUAACCUGUUGAGUAUCCGUUUGUUAUUAAAUAUGGGCCUCGUGCUCAUCCUGGCAACAGGAACGACCAUAAAGAAGCCGUCGAGAGGUAUCGGAAGAGUUUUCUUUUCUGUUUUAUAGCCGUACUACCAUGGAAGUCUUUCGCAGAGAGAUAUGGUAGAUGGGCUAGAAGAGCAUGACAUAUACUGUUGUGUCGAUAUUUUCUCCUCGGACCUUGAAAAUUUAUGGUGGGGAUACGCAAACUUCUCAACAGGCCGUACCAAUAUCCGCAGCUGGUCUCCAAGGUGAAGAGUCUCUAGUCGAUAGAAUA
Molecule: ribosomal RNA, 467 nt
Filed under: Dichaetophora sp. WTS6 (Gao)
Lineage: Eukaryota; Metazoa; Arthropoda; Insecta; Diptera; Drosophilidae
Description: partial 28S ribosomal RNA
Rfam family: Eukaryotic large subunit ribosomal RNA
Source: RNAcentral